This 28-nucleotide small RNA is filed under the name Bombyx mori (domestic silkworm). Its description in RNAcentral is "ovarian small RNA-14140". Lineage: Eukaryota; Metazoa; Arthropoda; Insecta; Lepidoptera; Bombycidae. The record is from RNAcentral.
CGAAUAUGGAACGACCAUCAACAAGCGA